RNAcentral lists this ribosomal RNA (482 nucleotides) under uncultured bacterium. RNAcentral describes it as "partial 16S ribosomal RNA". It matches the Rfam family "Bacterial small subunit ribosomal RNA", at positions 30 to 507 of the family's 1533-position model. The record is from RNAcentral.
AUUGAACGCUGGCGGCAUGCCUUACACAUGCAAGUCGAACGGUAACAGGUCUUCGGAUGCUGACGAGUGGCGCACGGGUGAGUAAUACAUCGGAACGUGCCCAGACGUGGGGGAUAACGAGGCGAAAGCUUUGCUAAUACCGCAUACGAUCUAAGGAUGAAAGCAGGGGACCGCAAGGCCUUGCGCGUUUGGAGCGGCCGAUGGCAGAUUAGGUAGUUGGUGGGAUAAAAGCUUACCAAGCCGACGAUCUGUAGCUGGUCUGAGAGGACGACCAGCCACACUGGGACUGAGACACGGCCCAGACUCCUACGGGAGGCAGCAGUGGGGAAUUUUGGACAAAGGGCGAAAGCCUGAUCCAGCAAUGCCGCGUGCAGGAUGAAGGCCUUCGGGUUGUAAACUGCUUUUGUACGGAACGAAAAGGCUCUGGCUAAUACCUGGGGCACAUGACGGUACCGUAAGAAUAAGCACCGGCUAACUACGUG